UUGGAGGGCAAGUCUGGUGCCAGCAGCCGCGGUAAUUCCAGCUCCAAUAGCGUAUAUUAAAGUUGUUGCAGUUAAAAAGCUCGUAGUUGAAUUUCGAGAUCAGUACGCUGGUCGUGCCUUCGGUAUGCACUGGUGUCACUGGUUUCUCCCUUCUGAAGAACCGUCAUGUCAUUAAGUUGGUGUGGCGGGGAAUCAGGACUGUUACUUUGAAAAAAUUAGAGUGUUUAAAGCAGGCUCGCGCUUGAAUACAUUAGCAUGGAAUAAUGAAAUAGGACGUUUGACCCUAUUUUGUUGGUUUCUAGGAUCGACGUAAUGAUUAAUAGGGAUAGUUGGGGGCAUUAGUAUUCAAUUGUCAGGGGUGAAAUUCUUGGAUUUAUUGAAGACUAACUACUGCGAAAGCAUUUGCCAAGGAUGUUUUCAUUAAUCAAGAACGAAAGUUAGGGGAUCGAAGACGAUCAGAUACCGUCGUAGUCUUAACCAUAAACUAUGCCGACUAGGGAUCGGAUGAUGUUAAUUUUUUAAUGACUCAUUCGGCGCCUUACGGGAAAC
RNAcentral lists this ribosomal RNA (549 nucleotides) under uncultured Glomeromycotina. RNAcentral describes it as "SSU rRNA". It matches the Rfam family "Eukaryotic small subunit ribosomal RNA", at positions 548 to 1098 of the family's 1831-position model. Lineage: Eukaryota; Fungi; Glomeromycota. The record is from RNAcentral.